GGUUGAGUGGUGUAAUGGUAACACGCUGAGAUUACAUACUGUUUCUUGGAAGGGGGCGGUUCCUUGGAGGCUUCCACGGAGCCAACGCUGUACGAGUAAUUGUAGGAUUCUCAGAACUGGAGGUUCAAAUCCUCCUUCGACCA
Molecule: non-coding RNA, 143 nt
Organism: Pestalotiopsis sp. NC0098
Lineage: Eukaryota; Fungi; Ascomycota; Sordariomycetes; Amphisphaeriales; Sporocadaceae
Source: the annotation of a GenBank genome assembly